This is a long non-coding RNA of Capsicum annuum, 639 nucleotides long. RefSeq lists it as uncharacterized. NCBI's taxonomy places the organism in Eukaryota, Viridiplantae, Streptophyta, Magnoliopsida, Solanales, Solanaceae. The record is from RefSeq and is a predicted model, not a curated record. The transcript is spliced from 2 exons.
UUAUAAUAGUACAAUGAAUUCGGAUUUACUUUACUAAUACAAAGAAGCAAAACUCGCUCUAAUCAAACACAAUGACUUUUCAAAAAUGCACAAGUGCAAGUGACAACUAUAAAUACAAGCCUGUAGCAGUGAGCACCAAUACAAGUGUUGCCACCAUCAACUGUCUUUGUAGCCUGAGCAUCAUACAAAUGGCCCACAAGCAAACUGGAAAAGUUCAUCAAGCAGCUGGGAUAGAGAUGGCAAGACGAACUCUGUAGCAAAUUCCAACGAUGCUAGAGCCAAUGUAAAGUGAUCCUGGCAUAGCCAGUGCCAAUAAGAUGUAUCUUAUCCCAUCAGAAUCUGUGAAGCCUCAUUCCAUAUUGACCUUGGGAUUGCAGCUUUCCUGCAAACAAAGAAUUUCAUAAGAUCAGUAACGGAACAAAUCAAUGGCGUACAUAAAAUUUUAUGUUGUUGUGCUGAAUCAUGCAUGUGUACAAGGGAGAAAACUAACUAACCGAUGAUUUGGCAAACCACUUGUAUUAGUUGUUGUUUAUCUACUAUUACCACUAUCAAUGUUAUGAACAAAUAUUUGUAUUGUUAUGACAACUGCACUGAGUGUGUUGUUAUUGUUGUAUUUAUAUGCAGACUGUUUCUUCUUUU